Non-coding RNA from Brevibacterium mcbrellneri ATCC 49030, 387 nucleotides. The record is from Rfam. Lineage: Bacteria; Bacillati; Actinomycetota; Actinomycetes; Micrococcales; Brevibacteriaceae.
GGGGAUGAUCGGUUUCGACGUUGGACAUUGCGUCGGGAGAAGCGGGCCGAGAAUGCAGACUCAACUCGUGAUGCUGUCUGUAAAAAAAUAGGUGCUAAAUCUAACAACCGCACCGAGUUCGCUCUCGCCGCCUAAUUUAGGCCUUAAUCCGCGAGCUGCGACUCCGUCAGCCUAGAGGUGCUUUCCCUCUAGAUCCUGGCGUCGUUUAGAAAGCCACUGCUGCUCACACAUGUUGGGGGUGUGAGUGGGACUUUUACUCAACUCCGUUCGUUGGGAUAGUGUGUUCGUGCGCUCCCCAGGACCUAAGACACAUUUACACGUACUGCGCCCGGAGAAGAAUCGACAAUUUGCCGACGGACGCGGGUUCAAUUCCCGCCAUCUCCACAA